AAUAACUCGACCGCUGAAUAUUAAAGUGCGUAUCGGACCGGUAUCCAUGGCAACCAACAGUGAUAAAAAUGCAGUGUGGCUAUCUGAAUGGGAACGUCACGACAUUAGCAUCUAAAACUGGAAACAAGAAUGAAGCAUAAGGGUAGCUCCAAUCACUCGUUAACCUAUCCGGUACGAGUUGGAUAUUUUCAGAUGCCAGCAGUUUUCUUGGUAAAAACAAGUUCUUCCUGCUUCUCUUUCUGGUCAGUUCGAUCACCCUGUCACUGCUGGUUGCGUUCUUUUUAACAAAAAAUCCAGUCAACAACCUCUCCUAGGCUUCGUUCGAAAUCUCCACAUAUUUAGAUGCGACUUGUGAUUGAUUAAAAGAUUGGAUUUUUAAAGAAAAAUCCAUUUGAAUUAGCCAUUGCUAUAGUCAACCUCCAUUACCUUGUUUUUUGCAUGUAACCCACGUACGAUUCUCCCAAAUCAACAAUCGCUUCAACGGUUCAUGUGGCCAAAUAAAAACAGUACAUCGAACGAAUGUUAUUUGUACUUGAUAAGCUUCUUGGUUUCAGUUUUACAUGGUGAUAUCUUAUUGAGCUUGUUUGCAAAUUCCAACUCUGAACUGAAAUGUUAUCGUUACGAGUUAAGGCACGUCCCGUUACACACACGUACGUUCCUAUAAUGAUUAUACGAGACCAAGGACUUGGAUAAUAUUACUUUGAAAAAAAAACAACCUCAAUUUAUAGAUGACAACGUUUUCACUAUGAUUUUAUGUUUCUUCGUCGUCAGUUUUUGCUAAAGACAAUUUUAUUGGGUGAAAAUACACACCUCGGGAGAAGAACCAGAAAUUAAUACGAAUAUACUUUUGUUUCCUGAAUUGCAGUUAAAUGGAUUAACAUGGUGCCUGAAAUGUCUUGUGUUUACACCACGGAGCUUUUAAACUGACUGCCAUUCGUUCCAGCAUCUUCAGACGUAUACCUUUCCUUCCGUUAUUAUGCAGUUAGGUUAUUAUCACCUUUCUACCAUCUUCCACCGAUAACUAUACUUUCCGUACUUGUUUCUGAAUUGGUAGAUAACCUGCUGUUCUUCUAGUUAAACGUGAUUUAAAUAUUUGUCGGAAUGCGAAAUUUCAAGUACCACGAAAAACCUGACAUUUAUAUUGUUUAUUUCAAAUUUGCAUGAAUAAUACGUAAGCUAUAAAGAACAACUCCAACAAAAGGAUCUGACUUGUUCUGUUUCGUGCCUACUGGCACAUAACAGUUAAUAUAAAUAGAACGAAUUUAACGAAUAGCAU
Daphnia magna is the source of this 1276-nucleotide long non-coding RNA. RefSeq lists it as uncharacterized. The transcript has 2 exons. The record is from RefSeq and is a predicted model, not a curated record. Lineage: Eukaryota; Metazoa; Arthropoda; Branchiopoda; Diplostraca; Daphniidae.